GUGCGGCGGGCCCCAUUGAGCCUACUGGACCGACUCUUCGCGAUUAUUUGAACAGAGACAGACCUACUGUUGAUGAUGUAAAAUCGUUUCUAAAAGAGAAACAUGGUUCACAGUCGCUUGCUCAUUGGGAGGAAGAACAGGACAGAGUGUGGAGAUAGAUGGUUGUAUUACUGGACUGCUUGUUGAUACGUUGAUGGGUUAGAAAUAUAGAGAUGAGCUGAAAAAACACCGCGAGGCAGCUCUAGCAGGUCAAAGCGAGAGUAAGAGAUCUUCAAAAAAGAAAUCAAAGAAGAAAGAGAAGAAAAUGAAACAGAAGUGGAGAACAAGAAAGCUAGCAGU
This is a long non-coding RNA of Corticium candelabrum, 339 nucleotides long. RefSeq lists it as uncharacterized. NCBI's taxonomy places the organism in Eukaryota, Metazoa, Porifera, Homoscleromorpha, Homosclerophorida, Plakinidae. The transcript is spliced from 4 exons. The record is from RefSeq and is a predicted model, not a curated record.